This 428-nucleotide ribosomal RNA is filed under the name uncultured bacterium. Its description in RNAcentral is "bacterial SSU rRNA". The stretch from base 12 to 378 matches the Rfam family "Bacterial small subunit ribosomal RNA", at positions 39 to 400 of the family's 1533-position model. The record is from RNAcentral.
GACGAACGCUGGCGGCGUGCUUAACACAUGCAAGUCGAACGGAAAGGCCCUGCUUUUGUGGGGUGCUCGAGUGGCGAACGGUGAGUAACACGUGAGUAACCUGCCCUUGACUUUGGGAUAACUUCAGGAAACUGGGGCUAAUACCGGAUAGGAGCUCCUGCUGCAUGGUGGGGUUGGAAAGGUUUCGGCGGUUGGGGAUGGACUCGCGGCUUAUCAGCUUGUUGGUGGGUAGUGGCUUACCAAGGCUUUGACGGGUAGCCGGCCUGAGAGGGUGACCGGCCACAUUGGGACUGAGAUACGGCCCAGACUCCUACGGGAGGCAGCAGUGGGGGAAUAUUGCACAAUAGGGCGGGAAGGACCUGAUGCAGCAACGACCGCCGUGCGGGGAGUGACGGCCUCGUGUUACGUACGUUACGUCGUCGUCGUCG